AACGCGAAGAACCUUACCUGGGCUCGAAAUGUAGUGGAAUAGGGUGGAAACAUCCUAGGCUCGCAAGAGACUGCUAUAUAGGUGCUGCAUGGCUGUCGUCAGCUCGUGUCGUGAGAUGUUGGGUUAAGUCCCGCAACGAGCGCAACCCUUAUCCCUAGUUGCCAUCGGGUCAAGCCGGGCACUCUAGUGAAACCGCUCAGGAUAACUGGGAGGAAGGUGGGGAUGACGUCAAGUCCUCAUGGCCUUUAUGUCCAGGGCUACACACGUGCUACAAUGGUCGGUACAAACCGUCGCAAACCCGCGAGGGGGAGCUAAUCGGAAAAAGCCGGCCUCAGUUCGGAUUGGAGUCUGCAACCCGACUCCAUGAAGCUGGAAUCGCUAGUAAUCGCGGAUCAGAACGCCGCGGUGAAUACGUUCCCGGGCCUUGUACACACCGGCUAC
This 441-nucleotide ribosomal RNA is filed under the name uncultured bacterium. RNAcentral describes it as "bacterial SSU rRNA". It matches the Rfam family "Bacterial small subunit ribosomal RNA", at positions 958 to 1397 of the family's 1533-position model. The record is from RNAcentral.